Aethina tumida (small hive beetle) is the source of this 470-nucleotide long non-coding RNA. RefSeq lists it as uncharacterized. NCBI's taxonomy places the organism in Eukaryota, Metazoa, Arthropoda, Insecta, Coleoptera, Nitidulidae. The record is from RefSeq and is a predicted model, not a curated record. The transcript is spliced from 3 exons.
GAAUUUUUAACAGAAAAUUGUCGCAUAUUUCUGUGGGGGUAAUUUUGUUGUCUUAUGUUUCAGGGUAUCCUUAAAGAAGGGUUAAACUGCGUUUCACGAACUGGCUAAUUAAGGGAGUGCAAUGGCGAUAUUUAAAAUGGAAAUCCUUCUAAACCUUUCAUUUUAUAACUCAGUUAUAAUGAAGAGUGGAUCGCUAUCAAAUAGUAAGAAAACAACACAAAAUGAAUCCAAGAUCACAUAGAAUAUCAUUCAGAAGAAAUGCAAAACAGAUAACUCAUCGGUUUCGGUUCUUUUGUUAUGGAAGUGAAUAAUAUACCGAAUUAAAAUGGCUGAUUCGAAAACAUCCAAUAAAGACGUGAAUGGGCAACUCGAAAUCGACCACUGAUGAAGAAGAUAUUUCCAGUUUCUAACAGAAAAAUUGAUUUAUUUUUCUAAAGCGUUGAUUGCUGUACACCGCUAUUUAAUAUGAC